AUAACGACUCUCGGCAACGGAUAUCUARGCUCUCGCAUCGAUGAAGAACGCAGCRAAAUGCGAUACUUGGUGUGAAUUGCAGAAUCCCGUGAACCAUCGAGUUUUUGAACGCAAGUUGCGCCCGAAGCCAUUAGGCUGAGGGCACGUCUGCYUGGGUGUCACGC
This 164-nucleotide ribosomal RNA is filed under the name Scrophularia decomposita. RNAcentral's name for it is "5.8S ribosomal RNA". It matches the Rfam family "5.8S ribosomal RNA". From Rfam's summary of the family: 5.8S ribosomal RNA (5.8S rRNA) is a component of the large subunit of the eukaryotic ribosome. It is transcribed by RNA polymerase I as part of the 45S precursor that also contains 18S and 28S rRNA. Lineage: Eukaryota; Viridiplantae; Streptophyta; Magnoliopsida; Lamiales; Scrophulariaceae. The record is from RNAcentral.